This 73-nucleotide transfer RNA is filed under the name Pseudolactococcus insecticola. RNAcentral describes it as "Lactococcus insecticola tRNA". It matches the Rfam family "tRNA". Rfam says of the family: Transfer RNA (tRNA) molecules are approximately 80 nucleotides in length. Their secondary structure includes four short double-helical elements and three loops (D, anti-codon, and T loops). Further hydrogen bonds mediate the characteristic L-shaped molecular structure. tRNAs have two regions of fundamental functional importance: the anti-codon, which is responsible for specific mRNA codon recognition, and the 3' end, to which the tRNAs corresponding amino acid is attached (by aminoacyl-tRNA synthetases). tRNAs cope with the degeneracy of the genetic code in two manners: having more than one tRNA (with a specific anti-codon) for a particular amino acid; and 'wobble' base-pairing, i.e. permitting non-standard base-pairing at the 3rd anti-codon position. Lineage: Bacteria; Bacillati; Bacillota; Bacilli; Lactobacillales; Streptococcaceae. The record is from Rfam by way of RNAcentral.
UGACACAUAGCUCAGUUGGUAGAGCGCUUGACUGUUAAUCAAGAUGUCGCAGGUUCGAGCCCUGCUGUGUCAG